AUUAGAUACCCUGGUAGUCCACGCCCUAAACGAUGUCAACUAGCUGUUGGGGCCUUCCUGGCCUUGUAGCGCAGCUAACGCGUGAAGUUGACCGCCUGGGGAGUACGGUCGCAAGAUUAAACUCAAAGGAAUUGACGGGGACUCCGCACAAGCGGUGGAUGAUGUGGAUUAAUUCUACGCACCGCGAAAACCCUUACCUACCCUUGACAUGUCUGGAAUCCCGAAGAGAUUUGGAGUACUGCAAGAGAACCGGAACACAGGUGCUGCAUGGCUGUCGUCAGCUCGUGUCGUGAGAUGCGUUUAAGUCCUGCAACGAGCGCAACCCUUGUCAUUAUUGCUACGAAAGGGCACUCUAAUGAGACUGCCGGUGACAAACCGGAGGAAGGUGGGGAUGACGUCAAGUCCUCAUGGCCCUUAUGGGUAGGGCUUCACACGUCAUACAAUGGUCGGGACAGAGGGUCGCCAACCCGCGAGGGGGAGCCAAUCCCAGAAACCCGAUCGUAGUCCGGAUCGCAGUCUGCAACUCGACUGCGUGAAGUCGGAAUCGCUAGUAAUCGCGGAUCAGCAUGUCGCGGUGAAUACGUUCCCGGGUCUUGUACACACCGCCCGUCACACCAUGGGAGUGGGUUUUACCAGAAGUAGUUAGCCUAACCGUAAGGAGGGCGAUUACCACGGUAGGAUUCAUGACUGGGGUGGAAGUCGCAUUAAGGUAA
Molecule: unclassified non-coding RNA, 713 nt
Filed under: uncultured Bordetella sp.
Lineage: Bacteria; Pseudomonadati; Pseudomonadota; Betaproteobacteria; Burkholderiales; Alcaligenaceae
Description: partial 16S-23S ribosomal RNA intergenic spacer
Rfam family: Bacterial small subunit ribosomal RNA
Source: RNAcentral